This 434-nucleotide long non-coding RNA is filed under the name Bos taurus (domestic cattle). RNAcentral's name for it is "long non-coding RNA NONBTAT023478". Lineage: Eukaryota; Metazoa; Chordata; Mammalia; Artiodactyla; Bovidae. The record is from RNAcentral.
GGGUUGUGGUUUUUCAUACCAGGGAAUGAGAUUAAAAGUCACUGAAGGGUGAGGAAAUGCACAACUGAGAAUAUGGAGAAUGGCCUGAAUUUUCUCCAGAGGACUCGGUGUAAUGUGCCUUUCCCCUCCAGAUGCCUAGAACCAUUGCACUGUGUCUUAUUUAUUUCAGUGCUGGUCCAUCACAUGUUAGACUCGCAAAGGUAUUUGCCUAUGACUUGAACAACACUUCCAAGAAUUGAAGACUGAUUCACGAGGGUGCCUCUUGCUCCCUGCAAUGGAGUUUAACCUUUUGGGCUCCAACCUAGUUUUAGACAUGGGGACCAGAUUACAGUAUCUCAAUGCUCAAAAAGAUGAGCAAAUUCUUGGUAAAUGUGCUGAGUUCUAGCUUGGUGAAUAACUGAUGUCAACUGCUGGGAAUAAAGGUCUUAAAGAUG